This 1079-nucleotide long non-coding RNA is filed under the name Nicotiana benthamiana. RNAcentral's name for it is "long non-coding RNA (NBEN_LNC009771)". The record is from RNAcentral. Lineage: Eukaryota; Viridiplantae; Streptophyta; Magnoliopsida; Solanales; Solanaceae.
AUCUUCUACACGGAGGUACACAAACCUUACACCAUUUUAUAAAACCUAAAACGUAAGACCAACAACACACCUCCCUCACCUCUCUCUACAUAAAGAACACACACCAAUACACAAAAGAGAAAGGAACGAGCACAAACAAAACAGGACAAAAAAUGGAAAAUCGAAAAGGGAACUAAGUUUGGUUUUGGUUUCGGUACUUCUCUUCUGUGAUUUGUCAUUUUAGUUCUUUGAUAAGAAAUGCAGUCCAAUUUGAUUUCAAACUUGAAAAAUACAUAAAAACAUUUUAGUUUUAUUUUGCGGUUUUCAAUCCUGGGGUUUAGUUGAAAUUCAAGGUUGGUUUGUUGUAUAUGGUUUCAAGUUUGCUGUCCAAUUGCUAUGUUCGAGGUUGUCUCCGGCGUGGUUUACAGUUUGUCGCUGUAUUCGAUUGAGAUCCCUAUUUUGAUUCGGGUUUAUCUUUGCUGCUUUGUACUGGAGUUGAGAUCCUGUGCUCUUGAACUUCAAUUAAAAGGUUUAUUUCUCACUCUACUUCCUCUUAGAUUUUCAAAUUGCAAAUUGCUAUUGUUGUUUGAAGGAAUAUUUGGCUGGUUUUUUUCUGCUCUUUAACUUUAAGUGUAUACUUGAGAAGGUAUCGUCUUUAGUUUGUUAGAAUGUGACUCGUUGAGGUGCUGUGUAGCCGAGCUCGUGCUUGAGAUCUUUCCCUGCUUAUAUAGCUAUUUAGGUAUGACACACAUUUUGUGACAAGUACUGUAGUGCAAUAUUUGUUCUUUCAUCUUUUUGGCUACACCUGAAUCUUCUUAUUGUUUGUAUAUACAAGCCACUCCCUUCCAAGGUAAGGAAUAGGGGUAAGGUCUGCGUACAUACUACCUUCCCAGACCCCACUAAGUGGGAUUAUACUGGGUUGUUCUUGUUGUUGUUGUUGUUAUAUAAGCCACUCCCUAUGUUCGUUCUUCCAAGUGAAUGAAAGAGUUGCAGAGUUCAAAUUUUGCUAUCCCCUAUUUUUUUUUGGUUUUAAUUAUUCACACCUUUCGUCCACCAUUAUUUAACUACUCAAAAUCAUUUUUCGUUAGCUGAACAAGACC